AGCGAACGCUGGCGGCAGGCUUAACACAUGCAAGUCGAGCGGGCACUUUCGGGUGUCAGCGGCGGACGGGUGAGUAACGCGUGGGAACGUGCCCUCUGGUUCGGAAUAACUCAGGGAAACUUGAGCUAAUACCGGAUACGCCCUUUUGGGGAAAGGCUUGCUGCCGGAGGAUCGGCCCGCGUCUGAUUAGCUAGUUGGUGAGGUAACGGCACACCAAGGCGACGAUCAGUAGCUGGUCUGAGAGGAUGAUCAGCCACACUGGGACUGAGACACGGCCCAGACUCCUACGGGAGGCAGCAGUGGGGAAUAUUGGACAAUGGGCGCAAGCCUGAUCCAGCCAUGCCGCGUGAGUGAUGAAGGCCUUAGGAUUGUAAAGCUCUUUUAUCCAGGACGAUAAUGACGGUACCGGAGGAAUAAGCCCCGGCUAACUUCGUG
Molecule: ribosomal RNA, 435 nt
Filed under: uncultured bacterium
Lineage: Bacteria
Description: partial 16S ribosomal RNA
Rfam family: Bacterial small subunit ribosomal RNA
Source: RNAcentral